Molecule: non-coding RNA, 492 nt
Organism: Chelmon rostratus (copperband butterflyfish)
Lineage: Eukaryota; Metazoa; Chordata; Actinopteri; Chaetodontiformes; Chaetodontidae
Source: the annotation of a RefSeq genome assembly
AUGAGCUCACUGGUUCUACUGCUGGCCACCCUGGGGCUCCUGGUUCAGGGUUCAUCAGGACAAAUCACCGUGACUCAGUCUCCUGAAUCUCAGUCUGUUGUUCCAGGACAGACUGUCUCCAUCAGAUGUAAAACCAGUUCAAGCGUUAGUGGCUGGCUGAGCUGGUACCUUCAGAAACCUGGAGAAGCUCCUAAACCCCUGAUUUAUAGAGCUACAAACCGUCAGUCUGGAGUUCCAGGUCGUUUCAGUGGAAGUGGAUCUGGGACUGACUUCACUCUGACCAUCAGUGGAGUUCAGGCUGAAGAUUCAGGAGUUUACUACUGUCAGCAGGGUUACAGCAACCCGUUCACACAAGUCCAGCCUGAGGGGAAGCCCUUGUUGGCCAGACACAUGAGCGUGGCCUUCCCCUGCUGCAGCUCCUUCCUGGAGGGGGGCAGCACCGUCAGGGUGGAGAUGACUCAACCCACUGCAGAGAGAAAGAACAAAUUUUGA